Molecule: ribosomal RNA, 1071 nt
Filed under: Triticum aestivum (bread wheat)
Lineage: Eukaryota; Viridiplantae; Streptophyta; Magnoliopsida; Poales; Poaceae
Description: partial small subunit ribosomal RNA
Source: RNAcentral
AUGUGGCAACCAAAAUGCCUCAUCCUCGUCGCGGUCUCUCUCUCUGUGCUUGCAUGCACGGCGGCGGGCGACGGCGGCGGCAGGUCACUGGUGACGGCCGUCACCAAGGACGCGACCACCUCCCUCUACACCAUCCCCGUCAAGUCCGGCCGCCCGCUGGUCCUCGACCUCUCCGGCCCCAUCGUCUGGUCCACCUGCGACGACGGCGCCCCCCACGACACGCUCGAGUGCAACAACAUCGACUGCAUGUGCGCGCACCGCUUCCACCCGCCCAGCUGCCCGCACACCGGCUACGGCAUGCCCGACGUCCACAACCCCUACCGCUGCAAGUGCACCCCGCACCCGCACAACUCCGUCUCCGGCGACACCGCCUCGGGGGACAUGACGCGCGGUCUGCCGGUGGGGGCCGUAGGCGUGGCGGGGCUCGCGCGCUCCAGCUUCCAGGCGUUCCCCGCGCAGGUCGCGGGCACUCAGGGCGUGGCUAACUCGUUUGCGCUCUGCCUCUCGAGCAGCCCUGGCAACGGCGUCGCCAUCUUCGGAGGCGGCCCGCUCUUUGUCCUGGGGCAGCCCAUCUCGGAGAUGCUGGGCAGCAACACCCACCUCCGCAAGUACAAGGACUCCCCCGGCUACUACAUCAUGGCCAGCAAGGGCAUCACCAUGGACGGAGCUAUGGAGUGCUGGGGUGCUGCCGCUUUGAGGGUCCCCUUCCCGGCCGCGUCGCCGUUCGAGCUGUGCUACAACAAUUCGAAGCUGCCGCAGAAGCGGUUCGGCUUCUUCGUGCUGAGGAUCAGCCUGAUGCUGGAUGGCGGCACAAGCUGGCCGGUGUUUGGCAUGAACUCUGUGGUGCGGUUGAACCGCGGCACGCCGUGCUUGGCUUUCGUCGAGAUGAAGGCGGGGAACAAGGCCGGGUAUGGCGAUGGUGCGGCGCCGGCGGUGGUGAUCGGAAGUUUUCAGAUGGAGAACAUGCUGCUGGUUAUCGACGAGGAGAAGCAGACGCUCGGAUUCACCACCGGGCAGCACCUCAACAAUGGGCUCUCGUGCGGCCACUUCAAUUUUACGAUGCCAGCCUAG